CAGCCGCCACGGUAAUACGAAGGGGGCUAGCGUUGUUCGGAUUUACUGGGCGUAAAGCGCACGUAGGCGGAUCGAUCAGUCAGGGGUGAAAUCCCAGAGCUCAACUCUGGAACUGCCUUUGAUACUGUCGAUCUGGAGUAUGGAAGAGGUGAGUGGAAUUCCGAGUGUAGAGGUGAAAUUCGUAGAUAUUCGGAGGAACACCAGUGGCGAAGGCGGCUCACUGGUCCAUUACUGACGCUGAGGUGCGAAAGCGUGGGGAGCAAACAGGAUUAGAUACCCCAGUAGUCCCUGUCUCUUAUAC
Molecule: ribosomal RNA, 301 nt
Filed under: uncultured bacterium
Lineage: Bacteria
Description: partial 16S ribosomal RNA
Rfam family: Bacterial small subunit ribosomal RNA
Source: RNAcentral